This 468-nucleotide ribosomal RNA is filed under the name uncultured bacterium. RNAcentral describes it as "partial 16S ribosomal RNA". It matches the Rfam family "Bacterial small subunit ribosomal RNA", at positions 28 to 507 of the family's 1533-position model. The record is from RNAcentral.
GACGAACGCUGGCGGCGUGCUUAACACAUGCAAGUCGAACGGAAAGGCCCUGCUUUUGUCGGGUGCUCGAGUGGCGAACGGGUGAGUAACACGUGAGUCACCUUCCCUUUACUUUGUGAUAUCUUCAGGAAACUGCGGCUAAUGCCGGCUACCAGCUCCUGCUGCAUGGUGGUGUUUGGACAUUUUCGUCUGUUGUGGAUUGACUCCCGGCUUAUCAGCUUGUUGGUUGGGGAGUGGCUUACCAAGGCUUUGACGGGUAGGCGACCUGAGAGGGUGACCAGGGACAAUGGGACUAAGAUAAGGAGCAGAGUGGUACAGGCGGCAAAAGUGGGGAAUAUUACAAAAUGAGGGGAAGCAUGAUGAAGAAAAGGAGCGUGCGGGAAGACGGCCUUCGGGGUGAAAAGCGCGUUAGGGUGUGACGAAGCGUGAGUGACGUUAAUGGGAAAAGAAGCACCGGCUAACUACGUG